RNAcentral lists this ribosomal RNA (587 nucleotides) under Enterobacter cloacae. RNAcentral describes it as "partial 23S ribosomal RNA". It matches the Rfam family "Bacterial large subunit ribosomal RNA", at positions 2211 to 2797 of the family's 2925-position model. The record is from RNAcentral. Lineage: Bacteria; Pseudomonadati; Pseudomonadota; Gammaproteobacteria; Enterobacterales; Enterobacteriaceae.
UGGCUGGUGUUCUAACGUAGACCCGUAAUCCGGGUUGCGGACAGUGUCUGGUGGGUAGUUUGACUGGGGCGGUCUCCUCCCAAAGAGUAACGGAGGAGCACGAAGGUUAGCUAAUCCUGGUCGGACAUCAGGAGGUUAGUGCAAUGGCAUAAGCUAGCUUGACUGCGAGAGUGACGGCUCGAGCAGGUGCGAAAGCAGGUCAUAGUGAUCCGGUGGUUCUGAAUGGAAGGGCCAUCGCUCAACGGAUAAAAGGUACUCCGGGGAUAACAGGCUGAUACCGCCCAAGAGUUCAUAUCGACGGCGGUGUUUGGCACCUCGAUGUCGGCUCAUCACAUCCUGGGGCUGAAGUAGGUCCCAAGGGUAUGGCUGUUCGCCAUUUAAAGUGGUACGCGAGCUGGGUUUAGAACGUCGUGAGACAGUUCGGUCCCUAUCUGCCGUGGGCGCUGGAGAAUUGAGGGGGGCUGCUCCUAGUACGAGAGGACCGGAGUGGACGCAUCACUGGUGUUCGGGUUGUCAUGCCAAUGGCACUGCCCGGUAGCUAAAUGCGGAAGAGAUAAGUGCUGAAAGCAUCUAAGCACGAAACUUGC